AGAUAUAUCAGGUUUCCUUUGUUCCUUGAGGCCCUUUGUGUAGUCUUUUAAUAUAUAUUACCCUAUUAAAAUAUAUACUGUCGGGGUCUCUCCUACAGUUUCUGAAAAAAAAAUCAGAUAUAUUGUCAGGCAACAAUUCCCAAAAGGAGCAACAGCAAUUAACACCAUUCAUAAAUUCCCUUCAAUUGCUAACAAUACUACUACUGGAUAACCAGAGUCACAACAGCAAUUAACAGAAUUCAACAAACAAGCUGUUACAAGGCAUGAUCCUACAAUAAUAAAAAGUAUAUGUGUCCUUUCAGUCAGUAAAUUGCUCUCAUUGCUACGUUUUGUUCCAGCGGUAUCGGAUAAAUGCACGGUGUUCCGCAAUAGCACAAAUGCUACUGCUAGAGAUUUCAGAAAUCGACCGGUACAAGUUUCUUCCCAUUCUUAAAACAGUAUACAUGCUGGCAACACUAAUCCAUUGCUUCAAGUAACACAUCAGAAGGCAAAAAGUUCAGACUGCACACGAAGGAUUCUCCUUGAGUAUUGUGUAGAAAAACCUUAGAAGGCAUUAUUCAACAGCAACAGAAAUUGCCUGAGUUCUUUCCAGUAACACAAACGGAUGAUACUAGGCAACGAAAUUAGGAAGAGGAACAGCAUAGAUUCACACAGCACAAACAAACAAACAGUCAGAAAAAAAAAUCGACCACCAGAAAUGCAUCCGUACUAUUCAUAUAAAUAACCAGAGCCACACAACAGCAAUCUACAACAACGAACUACCACUACGGGAUGCAACCUGAGAGGACGCGAACUUGGUGGCCCUCGGAGGACGGCAUGCUUGGCGAGCUCGCCUGGAAGGGCGAGGAGGGCGGAGGCCUGGACCUCGGGAGAGAAGCGAAAUGCGGAGGACGCCAUUGGAGGCGACGGGAAGGAGACAGAGG
This 923-nucleotide long non-coding RNA is filed under the name Brachypodium distachyon (stiff brome). RNAcentral describes it as "long non-coding RNA (BDIS_LNC001539)". The record is from RNAcentral. Lineage: Eukaryota; Viridiplantae; Streptophyta; Magnoliopsida; Poales; Poaceae.